RNAcentral lists this transfer RNA (84 nucleotides) under Mycoplasmoides pneumoniae. Its description in RNAcentral is "Mycoplasma pneumoniae tRNA-Leu". It matches the Rfam family "tRNA". Rfam says of the family: Transfer RNA (tRNA) molecules are approximately 80 nucleotides in length. Their secondary structure includes four short double-helical elements and three loops (D, anti-codon, and T loops). Lineage: Bacteria; Bacillati; Mycoplasmatota; Mycoplasmoidales; Mycoplasmoidaceae. The record is from RNAcentral.
GCACUCGUGGCGGAAUGGUAGACGCGCUAGACUUAGGAUCUAGUUUCAUUGUGGAGUGGGGGUUCAAGUCCUUCGAGUGCACCA